GACGAACGCUGGCGGCGUGCUUAACACAUGCAAGUCGAACGGAAAGGCCCUGCUUUUGUGGGGUGCUCGAGUGGCGAACGGGUGAGUAACACGUGAGUAACCUGCCCUUGACUUUGGGAUAACUUCAGGAAACUGGGGCUAAUACCGGAUAGGAGCUCCUGCUGCAUGGUGUGGGUUGGAAAGUUUCGGCGGUUGGGGAUGGACUCGCGGCUUAUCAGCUUGUUGGUGGGGUAGUGGCUUACCAAGGCUUUGACGGGUAGCCGGCCUGAGAGGGUAACCGGCCACAUUGGUACUGCGAUACGGCCCAGACUCCUACGGGAGGCAGCAGUGGGGAAUAUUGCACAAUGGGCGGAAGCCUGAUGCAGCAACGCCGCGUGCGGGAUGACGGCCUUCGGGUUGUAAACCGCUUUCGCCUGUGACGAAGCGUGAGUGACGGUAAUGGGUAAAGAAGCACCGGCUAACUACGUG
Molecule: ribosomal RNA, 468 nt
Filed under: uncultured bacterium
Lineage: Bacteria
Description: partial 16S ribosomal RNA
Rfam family: Bacterial small subunit ribosomal RNA
Source: RNAcentral